UUCCUACGGGGGGCUGCAGUGGGGAAUCUUACGCAAUGGGGCAAAGCGUAAUCCAGCACUAUGGCGUCAGUCAAGAUGCCGUUAGGGUGGUAAAGCACUUUUGUCCGGAAAGAAAUCCAUGUCUUUAAUACGGUAGGGUGAUGACGGUACCGGAAGAAUAAGCCCCGGCUAACUUCGUGCCAGCAGCCGCGGUAAUACGUAGGGGGCGAGCGUUUAUCGGAAUUACUGGGCGUAAAGCGUGCGUAGGCGGUUUGUUAAGUCAGAGGUGAAAUCCCGGGGCUCAACCUGGGAACUGCAUUGGAUACUGCAUGUCUGGAGUAUGGCAGAGGGGAGUGGAAUUCCGAGUGUAGCGGUGAAAUUCGUAGAUAUCCGGAGGAACACCAGUGCGAAGGCGCUCUCUGUCCAUACUGACGCUGAGCGGGAAAGCGGCUCC
This 433-nucleotide ribosomal RNA is filed under the name uncultured Burkholderia sp. Its description in RNAcentral is "bacterial SSU rRNA". It matches the Rfam family "Bacterial small subunit ribosomal RNA", at positions 336 to 766 of the family's 1533-position model. Lineage: Bacteria; Pseudomonadati; Pseudomonadota; Betaproteobacteria; Burkholderiales; Burkholderiaceae. The record is from RNAcentral.